Molecule: transfer RNA, 82 nt
Filed under: Bacteroides sp.
Lineage: Bacteria; Pseudomonadati; Bacteroidota; Bacteroidia; Bacteroidales; Bacteroidaceae
Also listed under: 1 other name
Description: tRNA-Leu
Rfam family: tRNA
About the family: Transfer RNA (tRNA) molecules are approximately 80 nucleotides in length. Their secondary structure includes four short double-helical elements and three loops (D, anti-codon, and T loops).
Source: RNAcentral
GCCCUGAUGGCGGAAUUGGUAGACGCGACGGUCUCAAACACCGUUGGAGCAAUCCUUACCGGUUCGAUCCCGGUUCAGGGCA